AGUGAACGCUGGCGGCAGGCCUAAUACAUGCAAGUCGAACGGCAGCACAGUGGAGCUUGCUCCAUGGGUGGCGAGUGGCGGACGGGUGAGGAAUACAUGGGAAUCUGCCCAGUCGUGGGGGAUAACGUAUGGAAACGUACGCUAAUACCGCAUGCGCCCUUCGGGGGAAAGUCGGGGACCGCAAGGCCUGACGCGAUUGGAUGAGCCCAUGUUCGAUUAGCUAGUUGGCGGGGAAACGGCCCACCAAGGCGACGAUCGAUAGCUGGUCUGAGAGGAUGAUCAGCCACACUGGAACUGAGACACGGUCCAGACUCCUACGGGAGGCAGCAGUAGGGAAUAUUGGACAAUGGCCGCAAGCCUGAUCCAGCCAUGCCGCCGUGAGUGAAGAAGGCCUC
RNAcentral lists this ribosomal RNA (395 nucleotides) under uncultured bacterium. RNAcentral's name for it is "bacterial SSU rRNA". It matches the Rfam family "Bacterial small subunit ribosomal RNA", at positions 29 to 418 of the family's 1533-position model. The record is from RNAcentral.